RNAcentral lists this ribosomal RNA (484 nucleotides) under uncultured bacterium. RNAcentral describes it as "partial 16S ribosomal RNA". It matches the Rfam family "Bacterial small subunit ribosomal RNA", at positions 30 to 507 of the family's 1533-position model. The record is from RNAcentral.
AUUGAACGCUGGCGGCAGGCCUAACACAUGCAAGUCGAGCGGAUGAAGGGAGCUUGCUCCUGGAUUCAGCGGCGGACGGGUGAGGAAUGCCUAGGAAUCUGCCUGGGAGUGGGGGAUAACGUCCGGAAACGGGCGCUAAUACCGCAUGCGUCCUGAUGGAGAAAGUAGGGGAUCUUCGGACCGCACGCUAUCAGAUGAGCCUAGGUCGGAUUAGCUAGUUGGUGGGGUAAAGGCCUACCAAGGCGACGAUCCGUAACUGGUCUGAGAGGAUGAUCAGUCACACUGGAACUGAGACACGGUCCAGACUCCUACGGGAGGCAGCAGUGGGGAAUAUUGGACAAUGGGCGAAAGCCUGAUCCAGACAUGCCGCGUGUGUGAAGAAGGUCUUCGGAUUGUAAAGCACUUUAAGUUGGGAGGAAGGGAAGUAAGUUAAUACCUUGCUGUUUUGACGUUACCAAAAGAAUAAGCACCGGCUAACUUCGUG